UAGGGAAUCUUCCACAAUGGACGCAAGUCUGAUGGAGCAACGCCGCGUGAGUGAAGAAGGUUUUCGGACCGUAAAGCUCUGUUGUUGGUGAAGAAGGAUAGAGGUAGUAACUGGCCUUUAUUUGACGGUAAUCAACCAGAAAGUCACGGCUAACUACGUGCCAGCAGCCGCGGUAAUACGUAGGUGGCAAGCGUUGUCCGGAUUUAUUGGGCGUAAAGCGAGCGCAGGCGGAAGAAUAAGUCUGAUGUGAAAGCCCUCGGCUUAACCGAGGAAUUGCAUCGGAAACUGUUUUCUUGAGUGCAGAAGAGGAGAGUAGAACUCCAUGUGUAGCGGUGGAAUGCGUAGAUAUAUGGAAGAAUACCAGUGGCGAAGGCGGCUCUCUGGUCUGCAACUGACGCCGAGGCUCGAAAGCAUGGGUAGCGAAACAGGAUUAGAUACCCUGGUAGUCCAUGCCGUAAAACGAUGAGUGCUAAGUGUUGGGAGGCUUCCGCCUCUCAGUGCUGCAGCUAACGCAUUAAGCACUCCGCCUGGGGGAGUACGACCGCAAAGGUUGAAAC
This 557-nucleotide ribosomal RNA is filed under the name uncultured bacterium. Its description in RNAcentral is "partial 16S ribosomal RNA". It matches the Rfam family "Bacterial small subunit ribosomal RNA", at positions 355 to 900 of the family's 1533-position model. The record is from RNAcentral.